GACGAACGCUGGCGGCGUGCUUAACACAUGCAAGUCGAACGGUGAAGGGGUCUGCUUUUGUGGGCCCUGGAUGAGUGGCGAACGGGUGAGUAACACGUGAGUAACCUGCCCCCUUCUUCUGGAUAACCGCAUGAAAGUGUGGCUAAUACGGGAUAUUCUGGGUCUGUCGCAUGAUGGGUCUGGGAAAGAUUGCGCCUUUGGGGGUUUUUGGUGGGGGAUGGGCUCGCGGCCUAUCAGCUUGUUGGUGGGGUGAUGGCCUACCAAGGCGGUGACGGGUAGCCGGCCGGAGAGGGUGGACGGUCACACGGGGACGGAGAAACGGCCCAGACUCCUACGGGAGGCAGCAGUGGGGAAUAUUGCACAAUGGGCGCAAGCCUGAUGCAGCGACGCCGCGUGAGGGAUGGAGGCCUUCGGGUUGUAAACCUCUUUCGCCAGUGAAGCAGGCCUGCUCCUUGUGGGUGGGUUGACGGUAGCUGGAUAAGAAGCGCCGGCUAACUACGUG
Molecule: ribosomal RNA, 502 nt
Filed under: uncultured bacterium
Lineage: Bacteria
Description: partial 16S ribosomal RNA
Rfam family: Bacterial small subunit ribosomal RNA
Source: RNAcentral